Molecule: unclassified non-coding RNA, 3436 nt
Filed under: Schistocerca americana (American grasshopper)
Lineage: Eukaryota; Metazoa; Arthropoda; Insecta; Orthoptera; Acrididae
Description: calcium-transporting ATPase sarcoplasmic/endoplasmic reticulum type, transcript variant X3
Source: RNAcentral
AAUGGUGCCCCGUUUCGUCCAGCAGCGCAGGCGUUGCCUUUUUUUAUAUACAUAUUUCGGGAGUUUUUGAGUGUUAUGAUAAAAGGGGUUUAGCGCAAACCCAGGAACUAGGGGCCCCUGAGUGAGUUUAAGUAACCCUUUUUAUUGUGAUCAAAAAUCUUGCCGAAACAAGUGCAACAGGGACCACACUAACUCUCAAGUGUUUAUAGAACUAUUGCUGCAAGUGCGUUAAUGAACACAAGAAAUAGCUCGUGAAGUGCACUAGAAACUGAGUGGCCAUGGAGGACGCUCACGUGAAGACUGUGGAGGAGGUAGUAAAUUACUUCAAUGUUGAUAUAGAUAGAGGCCUCACGCUAGAUCAAGUGAAGAAGUACCAGGAGAAGUAUGGCCCUAAUGAACUGCCCGCCGAAGAGGGCAAGUCGAUAUGGCAGUUGGUAUUAGAGCAAUUCGACGAUCUUCUAGUUAAAAUUUUGCUGCUUGCAGCCAUCAUAUCAUUCGUUCUUGCCUUGUUUGAAGAGCAUGAAGAUUCAGUCACUGCAUUUGUUGAACCUUUUGUUAUUUUGCUUAUUCUCAUUGCCAACGCUGUGGUUGGUGUUUGGCAGGAACGAAAUGCUGAAUCUGCAAUUGAAGCGUUAAAAGAGUAUGAGCCUGAAAUGGGCAAAGUAGUAAGAGGUGAUAAAUCUGGAGUACAAAAAAUCCGUGCCAAAGAAAUUGUUCCAGGAGAUAUUGUGGAGGUCUCAGUGGGUGACAAGAUUCCAGCUGACAUUCGACUUGUAAAAAUUUUCUCCACUACUCUGAGGAUUGACCAGUCAAUUCUGACUGGGGAAUCUGUGUCAGUUAUAAAGCAUACAGACCCAGUACCAGACCCUCGAGCUGUAAACCAGGACAAGAAGAAUAUCCUCUUCUCAGGUACUAAUGUAGCAGCUGGAAAAGCUCGUGGUGUUGUGAUUGGAACAGGUCUUGCAACAGCCAUUGGUAAGAUCAGAACUGAGAUGUCAGAAACAGAAGAGAUCAAGACUCCUCUUCAGCAGAAGUUGGAUGAAUUUGGUGAACAACUGUCGAAAGUGAUAUCUGUUAUAUGUGUUGCUGUGUGGGCGAUCAACAUUGGCCACUUCAAUGACCCAGCUCAUGGGGGCUCCUGGAUUAAGGGUGCAGUUUACUACUUCAAGAUUGCAGUAGCGCUGGCCGUUGCUGCUAUUCCUGAGGGUCUCCCAGCUGUCAUCACUACUUGUUUGGCCCUGGGCACAAGGCGUAUGGCUAAGAAGAACGCAAUUGUCCGAUCUCUGCCCUCAGUGGAGACCCUGGGUUGUACUUCUGUCAUUUGCUCUGACAAGACAGGAACAUUGACAACAAAUCAGAUGUCUGUCAGCAGGAUGUUUAUAUUUGAGAAGAUUGACGGCAAUGAUAGCUCAUUCCAUGAAUUUGAAAUUACUGGUUCCACUUAUGAACCCAUUGGUGAUGUCUUCCUGCAUGGGCAGAAGAUAAAGGCCAGUGAAUAUGACACAUUACAUGAAUUGGCUACUGUCUGUGUUAUGUGCAAUGAUUCGGCUAUAGAUUUCAAUGAAUUCAAGCAAGCUUUUGAGAAAGUUGGAGAGGCCACAGAAACUGCCUUAAUUGUGUUGGCAGAGAAACUUAAUCCCUUUAACGUCAGCAAAAUUGGUCUGGAUCGUCGUGCUGCUGCCAUCUGUGUUCGCCAAGAAAUUGAAACCAAGUGGAAGAAAGAAUUCACUCUGGAAUUCUCCAGAGAUCGCAAAUCCAUGUCAUCUUACUGUGUUCCUCUAAAAGCUUCUCGCCUUGGAUCUGGGCCCAAACUUUUCUGCAAAGGUGCCCCAGAAGGUGUCUUGGACCGCUGCACACAUGCUCGCGUCGGCACUCAGAAGGUGCCUUUGACAGCCACUCUGAAGAACCGCAUUCUGGAACUUACACGGCAGUAUGGUACUGGGCGUGACACCCUCCGUUGCCUUGCCCUGGCUACUGGAGACAGUCCUAUGAAGCCUGAGGAUAUGGAUCUUGGGGAUUCUACUAAGUUCUACACUUAUGAGGUGAACUUGACAUUUGUAGGUGUUGUGGGUAUGUUGGACCCUCCACGGAAGGAAGUGUUCGAUUCUAUUCAGAGGUGUCGUGCUGCUGGUAUUCGUGUCAUCGUCAUUACUGGAGACAACAAGUCCACAGCUGAAGCAAUUUGCCGACGUAUUGGUGUAUUUACUGAGGAGGAAGACACAACUGGCAAAUCAUACUCUGGCCGUGAAUUUGAUGACUUGUCACCAGCUGAACAAAAAGCUGCUGUUGCCAGGGCUCGUCUUUUCUCCCGAGUUGAACCUGCCCACAAGUCAAAGAUUGUGGAAUACUUGCAGAGCAUGAAUGAAAUUUCUGCAAUGACAGGUGAUGGUGUGAAUGAUGCUCCAGCACUGAAAAAGGCUGAAAUUGGUAUUGCCAUGGGUUCUGGAACUGCUGUAGCCAAAUCUGCAUCAGAGAUGGUAUUAGCAGAUGAUAAUUUCUCCACAAUUGUUGCUGCUGUUGAGGAGGGUCGUGCAAUUUACAACAACAUGAAACAGUUUAUCCGUUACCUCAUCUCCUCUAAUAUUGGUGAGGUUGUCAGUAUCUUCUUGACUGCUGCCCUUGGGCUUCCUGAAGCACUCAUUCCUGUUCAGCUGCUGUGGGUCAAUCUGGUUACUGAUGGUCUUCCAGCUACAGCACUGGGAUUCAACCCACCUGAUCUUGACAUCAUGAACAAGCCACCUCGCAAGAGUGAUGAGGGUUUGAUCUCUGGAUGGCUGUUCUUCCGCUACAUGGCAAUUGGUGGCUAUGUGGGUGCUGCGACUGUCGGUGCUGCUGCAUGGUGGUUCAUGUAUUCUCCUAAUGGCCCCCAGCUGUCUUACUACCAAGUUACUCACCAUUUGGCUUGCAUUGGAGGUGGUGAUGAUUUCAAGGGUGUUGACUGCAAGCUUUUUAAUGACCCACAUCCAAUGACAAUGGCCUUGUCAGUUCUUGUCACAAUUGAAAUGCUCAACGCAAUGAACAGUUUAUCAGAGAACCAGUCCCUAGUCGUAAUGCCUCCAUGGUCCAACAUUUGGCUGAUGGCUUCCAUGGCCCUGUCUUUUACGCUUCACUUCGUCAUUCUUUACGUUGAAAUUUUGUCUACUGUCUUCCAGGUGACGCCACUGUCAGUUGAAGAGUGGAUAACAGUAUUGAAGUUUUCCAUUCCAGUCGUUCUUCUUGAUGAAAUGCUCAAGUUUGUCGCCAGAAAGUUCACAGAUGUGCUCCAUUAAACUAAGGAGUUUAACCCAAAUUCAUCACCCCAGUGCCUUCAUAUGGAACCUUGUCAACCCCAGAUGCAGUAGCUGACAAGUGGUGAGAUUUAAGUAAAACAGUGCUAUAAAAUGGAAAUCACUGGCAAAUGAAAACACAAAAAAUAAAACCAACCCUCAAAAAAUAA